Molecule: RNase P RNA, 372 nt
Filed under: Actinomycetales bacterium
Lineage: Bacteria; Bacillati; Actinomycetota; Actinomycetes; Actinomycetales
Description: RNase P RNA component class A
Rfam family: Bacterial RNase P class A
About the family: Ribonuclease P (RNase P) is a ubiquitous endoribonuclease, found in archaea, bacteria and eukarya as well as chloroplasts and mitochondria.
Source: RNAcentral
CGAGUCGGCCGGGUGAUCGCGGCGGGUCAUGAGCCCGUCGAGGAAAGUCCGGACUCCACAGGGCAGGGUGGUGGGUAACGCCCACCCGGGGCAACCCGCGGGACAGUGCCACAGAAAGCAAACCGCCAGGAGCAAUCCUGGUAAGGGUGAAACGGCGGUGUAAGAGACCACCAGCACGUCAGGUGACUGGCGUGGCUCGGCAAACCCCACCCGGAGCAAGGCCAAGUGAAGCGGGAAACCGGUUCAAGCAGACGGGCUGCCCGCUCGAUGUCUGCUGGUAGGCCGCACCAGGCUGUCGGUAACGGCAGUCGCAGAUGGAUGAUCACCGCCCGCUUGCGGGCACAGAAUCCGGCUUAUAGGCCGACUCGUCCA